AGAUUGAACGCUGGCGGCAUGCCUUACACAUGCAAGUCGAACGGCAGCACGGGGGCAACCCUGGUGGCGAGUGGCGAACGGGUGAGUAAUGCAUCGGAACGUGCCCAGUAGUGGGGGAUAACUAGUCGAAAGAUUAGCUAAUACCGCAUACGACCUAUGGGUGAAAGCGGGGGAUUCGCAAGAACCUCGCGCUAUCGGAGCGGCCGAUGUCUGAUUAGCUAGUUGGCGGGUAAAAGCCCACCAAGGCUUCGAUCAGUAGCUGGUCUGAGAGGACGACCAGCCACACUGGGACUGAGACACGGCCCAGACUCCUACGGGAGCAGCAGGUGGGAAUUUUGGACAAGUGGGCGCAAGCCUGACUCCGAGCCAUCG
Molecule: ribosomal RNA, 372 nt
Filed under: uncultured soil bacterium
Lineage: Bacteria
Description: bacterial SSU rRNA
Rfam family: Bacterial small subunit ribosomal RNA
Source: RNAcentral